Triticum dicoccoides is the source of this 639-nucleotide long non-coding RNA. RefSeq lists it as uncharacterized. The transcript is spliced from 3 exons. The record is from RefSeq and is a predicted model, not a curated record. NCBI's taxonomy places the organism in Eukaryota, Viridiplantae, Streptophyta, Magnoliopsida, Poales, Poaceae.
UUGCACGAUUCAGGUGGAAAGGUGGGUUAUGUGUGACAAAUGUGAACGCUGGAAGCAUCAAAUUUGUGCCCUUUUUAAUUUCAAAAGGGGUGAUUCUAAAGAAGCAAAAUGUACUUGCCCUAAAGUGUUGUUCUUGGGGCUAAAGAUCUGCCAAGGGCCGUGCUUAGCAAUCAUAUACAAGAACAACUCUUUAAACCGUUCAGGGAAUAUAGACACUAACAGGCCAUUCAUGAUGGGAAAAGCUUUGAUGAGGGACCUCCGAUAUGGGACCUUCUUGGCCCCAUUGGCCGCCAAGCCCAACUCCUAGAGUGGACGUCAGGUAGCGACGCAUGAGACACGGCGCCCCGGGCGGCGGCGGCGGCGAGGGCAAUGCCGCACAGGACACGCCAUGGCCCCCAAGCAGAUAUUGAUCUUAGACUCGCCUUCUCAUCCUGACAAAAUAUGCCAUUUGUAUUCCCAUGACCUUAUUAUUAGAACACACAGGGAACUUUCCUAGCUUCAGUCCAGACAUGAUUUGUUGAACGUGAACAAAAUAAGAGUCCCAUAUCUAAGAUUUAAGUCAACUGCUAUUGCUAUCUCAGUAUGAGAAAGGAAAAUCCUCUCAUGGCUUGGAAUUAGUGGAGUAGGAUUCUCACAGAA